RNAcentral lists this ribosomal RNA (253 nucleotides) under uncultured bacterium. Its description in RNAcentral is "partial 16S ribosomal RNA". It matches the Rfam family "Bacterial small subunit ribosomal RNA", at positions 524 to 776 of the family's 1533-position model. The record is from RNAcentral.
UACAGAGGUCUCAAGCGUUGUUCGGAUUCAUUGGGCGUAAAGGGCGCGUAGGCUGCGGGGCAAGUCGGGUGUGAAAUCUCAGAGCUCAACUCUGAAACUGCACUCGAUACUGCUUUGCUCGAGGACUGGAGAGGAGAUUGGAAUUCACGGUGUAGCAGUGAAAUGCGUAGAUAUCGUAAGGAAGACCAGUGGCGAAGGCGGAUCUCUGGACAGUUCCUGACGCUGAGGCGCGAAGGCCAGGGGAGCAAACGGG